Molecule: ribosomal RNA, 483 nt
Filed under: uncultured bacterium
Lineage: Bacteria
Description: partial 16S ribosomal RNA
Rfam family: Bacterial small subunit ribosomal RNA
Source: RNAcentral
GACGAACGCUGGCGGCGUGCUUAACACAUGCAAGUCGAACGCUGAAGCUCAGCUUUUGUUGGGUGGAUGAGUGGCGAACGGGUGAGUAACACGUGAGUAACCUGCCUCCUUCUUUGGGAUAACGCCCGGAAACGGGUGCUAAAACUGGAUAUUCACUGGUCUUCGCAUGGGGGUUGGUGGAAAGGGUUUUUCUGGUGGGGGAUGGGCUCGCGGCCUAUCAGCUUGUUGGUGGGGUGAUGGCCUACCAAGGCUUUGACGGGUAGCCGGCCUGAGAGGGUGACCGGUCACAUUGGGACUGAGAUACGGCCCAGACUCCUACGGGAGGCAGCAGUGGGGAAUAUUGCACAAUGGGCGCAAGCCUGAUGCAGCGACGCCGCGUGAGGGAUGGAGGCCUUCGGGUUGUGAACCUCUUUCGCUCAUGGUCAAGCCGCAACAAUGGUUGUGGUGAGGGUAGUGGGUAAAGAAGCGCCGGCUAACUACGUG